RNAcentral lists this ribosomal RNA (451 nucleotides) under uncultured bacterium. RNAcentral describes it as "SSU rRNA". It matches the Rfam family "Bacterial small subunit ribosomal RNA", at positions 26 to 518 of the family's 1533-position model. The record is from RNAcentral.
AGAACGAACGCUGGCGGCAUGCCUAACACAUGCAAGUCGAACGAGACCUUCGGGUCUAGUGGCGCACGGGUGCGUAACGCGUGGGAAUCUGCCCUGGGGUACGGAAUAACAGUGAGAAAUUACUGCUAAUACCGUAUGAUGACGUAAGUCCAAAGAUUUAUCGCCCUGGGAUGAGCCCGCGUAGGAUUAGCUAGUUGGUGGGGUAAAGGCCUACCAAGGCGACGAUCCUUAGCUGGUCUGAGAGGAUGAUCAGCCACACUGGGACUGAGACACGGCCCAGACUCCUACGGGAGGCAGCAGUGGGGAAUAUUGGACAAUGGGCGAAAGCCUGAUCCAGCAAUGCCGCGUGAGUGAUGAAGGCCUUAGGGUUGUAAACCUCUUUCAGCAGGGACGAAGCGAAAGUGACGGUACCUGCAGAAGAAGCACCGGCCAACUACGUGCCAGCAGCCGC